GGAGUUGUGCCUGAACUACUAAGGACCACUUUGAUAGAGUGAUUAAUGGGGGUUAAAAUCCCCCCAACUCCU
Molecule: transfer RNA, 72 nt
Filed under: Carnegiella strigata (marbled hatchetfish)
Lineage: Eukaryota; Metazoa; Chordata; Actinopteri; Characiformes; Gasteropelecidae
Description: tRNA-Ile
Rfam family: tRNA
About the family: Transfer RNA (tRNA) molecules are approximately 80 nucleotides in length.
Source: RNAcentral